RNAcentral lists this ribosomal RNA (1059 nucleotides) under Bacillus safensis. Its description in RNAcentral is "bacterial SSU rRNA". It matches the Rfam family "Bacterial small subunit ribosomal RNA", at positions 192 to 1248 of the family's 1533-position model. Lineage: Bacteria; Bacillati; Bacillota; Bacilli; Caryophanales; Bacillaceae. The record is from RNAcentral.
GUUCAAGGAUGAAAGACGGUUUCGGCUGUCACUACAGAUGGACCCGCGGCGCAUUAGCUAGUUGGUGGGGUAAUGGCUCACCAAGGCGACGAUGCGUAGCCGACCUGAGAGGGUGAUCGGCCACACUGGGACUGAGACACGGCCCAGACUCCUACGGGAGCAGCAGUAGGGAAUCUUCCGCAAUGGACGAAAGUCUGACGGAGCAACGCCGCGUGAGUGAUGAAGGUUUUCGGAUCGUAAAGCUCUGUUGUUAGGGAAGAACAAGUGCGAGAGUAACUGCUCGCACUUGACGGUACCUAACCAGAAAGCCACGGCUAACUACGUGCCAGCAGCCGCGGUAAUACGUAGGUGGCAAGCGUUGUCCGGAAUUAUUGGGCGUAAAGGGCUCGCAGGCGGUUUCUUAAGUCUGAUGUAAAGCCCCCGGCUCAACCGGGGAGGGUCAUUGGAAACUGGGAAACUUGAGUGCAGAAGAGGAGAGUGGAAUUCCACGUGUAGCGGUGAAAUGCGUAGAGAUGUGGAGGAACACCAGUGGCGAAGGCGACUCUCUGGUCGUAACUGACGCUGAGGAGCGAAAGCGUGGGGAGCGAACAGGAUUAGAUACCCUGGUAGUCCACGCCGUAAACGAUGAGUGCUAAGUGUUAGGGGGUUCCGCCCCUUAGUGCUGCAGCUAACGCAUUAGCACUCCGCCUGGGGAGUACGGUCGCAAGACUGAAACUCAAAGGAAUUGACGGGGGCCCGCACAAGCGGUGGAGCAUGUGGUUUAAUUCGAAGCAACGCGAAGAACCUUACCAGGUCUUGACAUCCUUGACAACCCUAGAGAUAGGGCUUUCCCUUCGGGGACAGAGUGACAGGUGGUGCAUGGUUGUCGUCAGCUCGUGUCGUGAGAUGUUGGGUUAAGUCCCGCAACGAGCGCAACCCUUGAUCUUAGUUGCAGCAUUCAGUUGGGCACUCUAAGGUGACUGCCGGUGACAAACCGGAGGAAGGUGGGGAUGACGUCAAAUCAUCAUGCCCCUUAUGACCUGGGCUACACACGUGCUACAAUGGACAGAACAAAGGGCU